UUGAAAGGGAAACGAUUGAAGUCAGUCAUGCUGGUGGGAAUCAACUUAGGGGAAACUCUAGGUGCACUUCUUCGCUUGGCAGGUUAACGUCGAUCUUGAAUGCCAUAAAAUAAUUGGGGGAAGGUAGCUCCUUCGGGAGUGUUAUAGCCCUUGAUAGAUGUGAUGUUUGGGGUCGAGGAUUGCAACGGAUACCCUUUGGGGCUAGCCGCCUGAUCUCUAAUCGGUGUUGGGUUACGGAUAGCAUGCUGACCGUGAUCUAAUUACUGGUUAAAAGGUUAGAGUGUGCAUAAAUUCGUUAAGGAUGUUGACGUA
RNAcentral lists this ribosomal RNA (312 nucleotides) under uncultured Glomeromycotina. Its description in RNAcentral is "LSU rRNA". Lineage: Eukaryota; Fungi; Glomeromycota. The record is from RNAcentral.